This 194-nucleotide ribosomal RNA is filed under the name uncultured Glomeraceae. Its description in RNAcentral is "partial 18S ribosomal RNA". It matches the Rfam family "Eukaryotic small subunit ribosomal RNA", at positions 590 to 786 of the family's 1831-position model. Lineage: Eukaryota; Fungi; Glomeromycota; Glomeromycetes; Glomerales; Glomeraceae. The record is from RNAcentral.
GCUCAUAGCGUAUAUUAAAGUUGUUGCAGUUAAAAAGCUCGUAGUUGAAUUUCGGGAUCAAUAUAUCGGUCGUGCCAUUGGUACGUACUGGUAUCAUUGUUUCCUCCUUUCUGACAAACCAUGAUGCCAUUAAUUUGGUGUUAUGGGAAUUUAGGACUGUUACUUUGAAAAAAUUAAAGUGUUUAAACCAGGCC